This 253-nucleotide unclassified non-coding RNA is filed under the name uncultured delta proteobacterium. RNAcentral's name for it is "contains 16S-23S intergenic spacer region". It matches the Rfam family "Bacterial small subunit ribosomal RNA", at positions 524 to 776 of the family's 1533-position model. The record is from RNAcentral. Lineage: Bacteria; Deltaproteobacteria.
UACGGAGGGCGCAAGUGUUGUUCGGAAUCAUUGGGCGUAAAGCGCGUGUAGGCGGCUUGGCAAGUCGAGUGUGAAAGCCCGGGGCUCAACCCCGGAAGGUCGCUCGAAACUGCCUCGCUAGAGUCCCGGAGAGGAAGGCGGAAUUCCCGGUGUAGAGGUGAAAUUCGUAGAUAUCGGGAGGAACACCAGCGGCGAAGGCGGCCUUCUGGACGGUGACUGACGCUGAGACGCGAAAGCGUGGGGAGCAAACAGG